This is a non-coding RNA of Paramuricea clavata, 248 nucleotides long. Lineage: Eukaryota; Metazoa; Cnidaria; Anthozoa; Malacalcyonacea; Plexauridae. The record is from the annotation of a GenBank genome assembly.
CCCCCUGGUUCUUAUUAAAAUAUUUUUGCUUGUUGAAGUAUUUGCAGUAUAUUCUCGUAGUUUUUGAUUUUUUCAUAUUUUUUGUACCUUUGACCACUGGUUCAAAUGUGUGCAAGUCGUACACAUUAUAUUCUCGUCCUCAAAAGACAGAAAACCUCGAAAUACAUCCGCAAAGACGAUAUUUGAAGCCGCAACUACAGGUAAAAUAUUUCUCAGUUCAUAACUUCACACACUGAGUCACACUCGAG